Molecule: ribosomal RNA, 253 nt
Filed under: uncultured bacterium
Lineage: Bacteria
Description: partial 16S ribosomal RNA
Rfam family: Bacterial small subunit ribosomal RNA
Source: RNAcentral
UACGUAGGGGGCAAGCGUUGUCCGGAUUUAUUGGGCGUAAAGAGCGUGUAGGCGGCCUGACAGGUCUGCUGUGAAAACUCGAGGCUCAACCUCGAGAUGUCGGCGGAAACCGUCUGGCUAGAGUCCGGAAGAGGAGAGUGGAAUUCCCGGUGUAGAGGUGAAAUUCGUAGAUAUCGGGAGGAACACCGGUGGCGAAGGCGGCGACCUGGGUAGAUACUGACGCUGAGGUGCGAAAGCGUGGGGAGCAAACAGG